This 331-nucleotide unclassified non-coding RNA is filed under the name Hevea brasiliensis (rubber tree). The record is from RNAcentral. Lineage: Eukaryota; Viridiplantae; Streptophyta; Magnoliopsida; Malpighiales; Euphorbiaceae.
UAAUGAACUAAAUAUGUAUAUAGGCAAAUAACGUUUAGAUUUAGAUGUAAAUGUAAAUAUCUGAUGUCUAUUUAUGAAACGCUCACCAUUCUAUCCACCCAUUCUUAAAACGAUAUAAAUCCACCUAUAUGAGUGGAUGACCCUGGACCAUUUGUAGUGCCAGAGUGGUUUCUCGAAUUAGUCUUAAAUCAUCGAAUGAUAGAAGCGUCCUCCCAAUGCUGCUCAAAUUGACCUCAUUCUUCUUCGUUAACAUAAUCCUUGGUCUAUAGAAAUUGGUGGCAUAAUCAAAGGACAUUCAAAGUAAAGUGCCUCUAUAAUUGAAGCAUAACCA